CCUGGGUAGUGUGCAAAGUUGCUAUGCAAAGAGGGCUCUCUAUAAUGCUUCCUCGCUCCCCCUGACUUGCUGGUCUGGAUUCAAUGCUUUCAUGACAGGCAGGAGCAAGAAAACCAAUGUUGCUCUGGCAAGUUUGUUGGAGAAGACAAAAUGAGAAGACUGUGCUUAGAGUUACACUGAAUCGGAUUUGGAGAGUCCUGCUCAGGUGAGACAUCUGAUGAAGGUCAGAGCAGAACAAAUAGAAUUGUGAUAAGGCCAGCAAAAAAGGUAAAUUAAUUAAAAUUAAAAAUCCUGUGAUUUUUUUUAAAAUGAGGGGUGGUAUAUAGAUUAUACAGCCAUAGCUAUGUUUAGGAAACCUUCCUGGUAGUUCCACCACCCUCAAAAGUUUGGGGUAUAAUGGCCUGGGAGAGGGCAUUCCUUCCCCACAGUGCUAUGUCUGGCAUCUUAUUUAAGUAGUUUUUACUUUAAUGUUGUAUUUUUACAUUGCUGUUAUCCACCCUGGUAACUUUCAGGGAAUGGGAGGUAAGAAAUAAUCAUCAUCAUCAUCAUUAUCAUCAUAAUCAUAAUAAUCAUCUAACAAUCCACCUAUUUAUCCAUUCAUUUUAUGAAAGCAACGGUUGCUGUUAUUACUUCUAGGUUUCCAGGGCUUAUGGCUGGAAGACAACAAUCACUUUUUCCACUCAUAGGUCAAAACUUGUAAUUCUCUUGUACUAGAGUUGGCCUUGAAUUUUGCCUAAAGGAAAAAGUUCAAGGCAAAGUAGAUGUUGACUAGUGAUGGAGACAUCGGGUGAGUUCAGGAUGUGAACUUUUCCAGUUCACAAUUCUUCACCUCAGCUUGAAGCAAGCUCAGAUUUUGCAGUCUCUCCCCACCCCUAAAGGUGUAUUUUACUGAAAAGCAAAAUCAGGAGCCUCCUCCUUCACCUCAUGUACUUUGGCUCUCAGGCAAGUCAUCUGAAGAGUUCUGAAGGAAUUUGGGGGCUAAUGGGAUAUGUAGUCUAAGAUAGUUGUCCUCCACCAGUUCUAGAGUUGCAGAAGAUGGUGGAGGACAAGGAGAUGACCCAUUCUGAAGAGGUACACUAUAUUAGUAAUGAUAUGGAGGAUAAUAAUAAUCCAUAGGAACACGGAAAGCUGCCUAAGAGCCAGAUCAUUGAUCCAUAUAUGUUCAGUAUUGUUGACACUCACUAACAGCUAUUCUUCAGAGUUUCAGUCAGGGGUCUACCUGGGGAAUGAACCUGAGACCUUCUGCACGUAAAGCAGAUGUUCUACCACUGAGCUACAGUCCUUCCCCGAAAUUUGCACACCACAUUUGCAGGCAAAGUGCCCAUUUGCUGUAGUGGAGUAGCCCCUACCAUGGCUGAGGAUUUGGUGAAUUGUGUGGAAGAAAUAUAUAUAUACAUACAGUACAAACAUACAUACAUACAUACUGUACAAACACACAUACAUACAUAUAUACAUACAGUACAUGUAAAAAAAUAAUCUACCUGUCUAUCGAUCUACACAUAAAUAAAUACAUGUAUAAAAGAAAACAAUCUUUGGUUUACCUUUCCAUCUUCCUAGGGAUAGGAAACUUCAUGGCAGGAUGAAGAAAAUGAGUUUAUUAAGUUGACUCUAGCAAACGACUCGGGGAUCUGGAUGAAGCUCCUUGAGCUAUGUCAACAUUUUCUUGAAAGAUAUCAGAGAUUAUUUGAUGUUUACUUUUUUAAGUACGGGUAUUUGUAAGUUUUUUUUUAGAAAAAAAAAUGCCAAGGAGCAUUUUAUUACAUUUUAAAAUGUAAUUCCUGAUCCCAAGGUGCUGUCUAUAUAAAUCUCAACAAACCUACAAAAUCGCUAUCUAUAUUAGAUCAGCAAAUCCUCUCAGGCCCAGCGCUGGGCAGUGUGUUAAGAAUAAGAGGCAGAAGUGAAAUUCCUUGGUAAUAAAACUUCUGAGCCCUGACAAGUGUAUGGGAAUGCCAUUUCGUGCAAUGAUGCCUGGACUUUCAUAUCACACCGUCCUUUAUUCUAUCUGUUCUGUUCUUCUUCCCCUUAACCUCGGUUUCUUAACUGCACAGCUCACCAGGAUCUCAGGGAAAGGAAAUAUACUUAAUUCAAGGUUCUGGUUUUAUCCUAUAAAGCGUACAGGAAAAAUCUCAAACCCAGGAGCUGAAUCUGGCCCUGAAAGACUCUCUAUAUGGCUCUCAGAACUACUCACCCUAUUUUUGCCUGUCUUUGGUGUGUGUCCUUGAACCCUUGCUUGAUAGUGGCUCUUGCUUGUCUGGUUGGCAGAUAGAGAGGCGUCUGUGUGUGUGUGUGUGUGUGUGUGUGUGUGUGUGAGUGUAGAAACUAGCCUACAAUGCAACAGUAAAAUUGCCCUCUUUCUCCUCUGGCCCCACCCACCACUGGCAUGUGGCCCUCAGAUUGAAAAAGUGACACAGUAAACAUCAUUAAACAAUGCUGCUGCUCUGUCCCCUUUCUGCACAUGCAUGCUUCUGUUCCUUUACCAUUCCCCCAUGAAAACUGUAUACUGUACCUGGUAUACUACCCAAAUUUCAUGACUUUACUUGGGUGAUUUCCUAGGGUUCCAAACAGACCCCCCCGAAACAAUUAACAUGGAAAUAAGUGCCAACGUUCCACUAGAAUUUUGGAAGUGGAUUCUGAAAGCUCAAAUAUAAUGUGUAAAUUAACAGUUUGGGAAAGAUCAGAGUAACGGAAUAAACUGCUGUGUGAAUGCAGCCUUGUUGACCUCUCCCAAUUGGAAAGAGAGUAUAUGUAUAGCCAAAGGGAAGAUUCUGUUUCCUUACCAUUAAAUAUUCUUGAAAUUUUUGAGCAAAAGAAUAAAUGAUGGUGCUGGUAGGGCUAUGCUCCCCUUAUUGGACUUGAGGCCACAGCAAAUGGCCAACCUCACCACCCUCUGUAGUCUUCUUCCAGGGAGUGGUGGAAAUAUUUUUGCAAUGCAUUGAACAUGGUAAUUGUAAACAUGCUGGAAAAUGCUCUUCCUAUUUUCCUGCAGCUGCCUCUGAUUCAAACUGGUGACCUUAGCAAAGUAGCAACACGUGUUUAUUGAAGAAGGAAAAAAAAGAAGGAAAGAAAGGGAGGGAGGGAGAGAACAGAGGGAUCAUCUAUCGCUGGGAUGAAAGACAGAGACAAAAUCUCCAAUCUGUAAUGCAGAUUUAUUAACAGUCAUUCACUGGUUUUCACUGAAAUACUCUUCACAUAACCUUGACUUUAUUAAGUAGUCCUUAAGGUGCAUUUUGAAGACAGAUAAUGAGUUUGGGGAAUAGGCUUAUCUACAUCAAGCUAAUCUUUAACAGCUUGGAAAGGAACUUGGAGGAACUUCUUCCACUUCUCGCGGAAUCACAGUCAUUAUUUUUUUUACAAAAAAAAAAUCAAGUUUGUUUUAAAAAAAGCAAAAAACCUGUCAGCUUUAAUAGGAAGAGUUUAUUGAGCACAACUCUGUUUUUAUAGGUCCAUACACUGGGGGAAGAGGGAAGAAUUAGGAGGAUAAGAUGGAUGGGUAUUGGAUUUGCGAUAGUGUUAGAUAUUCCAGCAGUAACAGAAAAAUGUGGGUAAAUACUGACACAUGAGCAGUAAGGCACCAUACAACCCACAAUGUGCAAUUCCAAACACUGCUGUUGGCAAAGUAUAUUUUGAACUCUUCGUAAUAUAUUGUAGGAUAACAAUAUUUUUUUCCCAGCGUUAUUAGCAAAGUCACCUUCUUGCAUUCCAAAUUGGUGGAGAAGGGCUAUUUCAUUUCAUUCCAUUCCAUCUAGCAACUAACAAAAUGAAUUCCACGAAGGACAAAUGUAAGGUUCUGUACUUAGGCAGGACUAAUCAGAUGAACAAAUGUAGGAUGGGGAACACCUGGUUUGAGAGCAGUACAUGUGAAAAGGAUCUAGAGGUCUUAGUAGACCACAAGCUUAACAUGAGUUGAUACAUACGCAUCAGAGAAAGAACAUGCAUUUAAACCACCUAAGACACAUGGGAGCAUGUGGAAUGAUAUUUUUUAAAACCAGCAACUGUAGAAAUAAUUUUUGAUUUGAUUAUAUUACUAAUGUAAUUACCUGGAUGUAGUUGGGGCUGGGGGAGCAGCUAGAGGAAAACUGAAUUUGAUUGGUUGUAUUUGAUUAUAAGUUGUUCUUAUAAUCAACUAAUAAAAUAUUCAAAAAACAACCACCACCAUGAGUUGACAGUGUUAUGCAACAGCAAAAAACUGAAUAACAAACUAACUAACGCAAUUCCAGACUGCAUCAAGAGAAGUAUAAUGUCCAGAACUGGACACAAUUUAAGAAGGAUAUUGACAAGCUGGAACAUAUGCAGAGGAGGACAACCAAUAUGAUUGAAGGUCUGGAAACCAAGCCUUAUGUGGAAUGGUUGAAAGAGUUGGGUAUGUGUAUCCUGGAGAAGAGAAGACUAAGAAGUGAUAUGAUAGCCAUCUUCAAAUUUCUGAAGGGCUGUCAUAUGAAAGAUGGAGCAAGCUCAUUUUGUGUUUCUCCAAAGGGGAGGACCCAAACAAUGGAUUCAAAUUAUAAAAAAGGAUAUUAUGACUAAAUAUUAGGAAGAAUUUUCUGAUGGCAAGAGCUGUUUGACAGUGGGAUAGACUACCUUGGGAUGUAGUGGAUUUUCCUUCAUUGGAGGCUUUUAAGCAGAACUUGGAUGGCCAUCUGUUGGGGUUUAUUUAGCUGUGAUUUCUGAUUGCAAGGGGUGGAAUAAAUGACCUUUGGGAUCACUUCCAAAUCUGCAAUUUCACAGUUGUACUAGAUAUUUUAGGAAGCUGUUUGUCUCUUCUAUGCAUCUGGAGACCUUUGAAGAUGUCUUAACCCAACUUGAUGUGAUGUUUCCUGGGAUCAGGGAGGAGGUAUUGGAUACCCUUGGGCACUAUUUUGAAUUAGGAUGGCAAACUGAACCUAUGAAGCCUGCACCAAUGUUAAUCAAAUUUUGUAUGCUGGUUCCUGUGAUCAAGGAGCAGGGUUUGGAUACAAUCUGAUUCAAAAUGGUGGACUGAAUUAUUCAAAUCUGCAUGCAUUUAGACACCUCUUACAAUAUCACAACUAUUUUUGUGUGUGUAAUGGUUCCUGAGAUCAUGGAAUAGGUUUUCUUCUGUGUUUGGCUACCAGUGGACACCAUUUUGAAUCAAGAUGGCAGAUUGUACCUUUCUAAACUGCACUGCUCCCUCCCCCCAAAUUCCUGAUCAGCAUUGUUUACAAGGCUGCUAGUAGUUAAUUUAUAAGCAAAACAGAGCCUUUCCUUCAUUUAAAAUAGAGGGGGGAUGCUUAGCAAUAGUUUUUGGGGUGAGAAAAGUCUCUGCAUUGAAUAUUAGCAGUAAAGAUGGGCAAAGCUGUUAAUUUCAUCCCGUUUCAGCCUUGCUGGCACUCUGUCAUAGAUUGUUCAAUCUCCUUGCACCCAUACAUACAUACAUACAUACCUAAAUGCAUAUGUAUUGCAUACUUUUUCAAUGUUUUUCAAUGUAUUUGCCAGCAAAGUACGCCUGUUGUGUUUGUUGUUCACAGAAAGUAUACAUUUUGUGUGCAUUUUUUGCACAUGAAUAGUACAUUGAAAAAUUCAGAGGAGUGCACAGUCUGACUAGGAUUUGCAUUCUAGUGAAAUUGGGUUGGCCUGUCCUAGUUAGAAGGAAUGAGACAGAUAAAUAGAUCGAUGGAUAGAUGGGCAGAUCAAAACAAUUCCUUUGCUAGGAAAAAAGCCUGUGUAAAACCCAGUACAUUUUUGCAAAUUCCAGGCUAGUUGGCUUUUGAACAGAUGUGUCAUUUGAAGGCAAAGCCUCAUUUGGUCUGGUGAGCUUGCCCUGGUUUUGAAUCCCAGCUGCUGGUGUACAAAACCAUAAAUUGGCUCGGGCUUGCUUGAACGACUCCUGAACUUUUCAGGGAACCUUUUGAUGAACCUGCUCUGGAUUUUGGGCUGGGGGGGGGGAGGCGUGCUCAGAAGGCAAUCAUGAAAGCUAACACCAGGUGAGGUUCACUCAGAGCCAAACGUUUUCAUGAGCUAUGGGUUGGGAAAGGAAGGAGGGGGGCAUCUUUCUAAUUAGAAAGCAGAGUCUAAAGCUAAGAGACAUUAACAAGCCCUGGCUACUGUCUGACCAGCAGUAAAUCCCAGAAUUGAUUUAGUUCUAAGUUUCUAAAAAGUUUAGUGCACAAAAAAAGCUUGCUCUUUUUUUGAGACAGAGAGAGAGGGCAGGACAACUUCUUAAAAGCUCAAGGGGAGCAGGGGAAAGGAAGCUCUUGUAAGCAGACCCUCAGAAAUGCCAUUUUGAUUUAACCUUAUUGUCCUAGAAAGGAAGGAUUGCAUCUGCAAACAUACCUUUCUUUGCUGCUUUUGUCAAUAGCAAAGUUGUUUUGCUAAUGGUUAUCUGCUAACAAGUCCUUGACCUGCUUGUAAACACUUUUUUUUUUUUUUUGCCGGAAAACCUCAGGCCGUGGCCUCGGGCCUUUGCGUCAACAACAAGAGAUAAAGUGACCACAACUUAACCUGCUCUGGCCUGGAGUGCCCUCUGCUGCCCCUUGACCAAGUGACUUUCUAAUCUGUGUCCUUCUGAAAGGAAUGGGGAGCUUAUAAGGGUGGGCCAGAGACUGGGAAAGAUGCAUUAGCUAGGAGGAAAUCAAUUUCCUUUACAGUCUUUCCCAUCCUCUUUCAGUGGGAAGCACUUAAUUGAAAGUGGUGGGUGAUUAAAUACCCAAGAGUAGGAUGGGGUGUCUAUGUUUUGGAGAAAACACUUCCCUAACACCUUGUUCUUUCAUUCACUCCCACUAUAUAUGAGAACUGCACAUGGUGGGAUCCACCCAAAAGUAUAAUUUCUGCAACCAGAAUAUUGAAGAUUCUGCAAUCAGAACGAAUACAGGGGACUUUUGGAGGAGGAGAAUUGGGAGAGGAAAAUGAAAUGACAAUCAAGGCCAGCCCUACCAUGAGGCAUUGGGUUUCAAAAGCAAAUUGAGAGGGGCAGAAGAACGCUUAUCCACUUCCACUAUCUAUUGUUGCCUCCUGCCACCCUACCAUUUCCAUUCUACCUUUGGAGGCAAACUGACACUCAUCUCUGGAAUCUCAGCAACAGGGAACUGGCACUUCAAAUUCCCCAAAUUAAACAUCUUUUGAAGUUAAAGGAUUCGGUAAAUUCAUGGAGGAUGUGGUUUAUCAGUGGCCACUAAACCUGAUGGAUAUGUUCUACAUCCACUGUAUAAUGAGUGAAAACAAUGGAGGACUUCUGAGAAGGAAUGGGGAGAUGAAAUGGUGGUCAAAGCCUUGAUCAAAGGGAUGGAGCGAGUCUCCUAAGAGGAACAGUUGCAGCAUUUUGGGGACUUUGUAGUUUAAGGAAAAGGCAAGUAAGAGGAGGCAUGAUCAUCUAAAUUUAUGCAUAGCAUGGAGAAAGUGGAUUGAGAAAAGCUUUUCUCCCUCUCUCACAACACUAGAUCUCAUGGACGUCCAAUAAAGCAGAACGUUAAAAGAUUCAGGACAUAUAAAAAUGAACUUCUUCAUGCACUACAUAGUCAUUCUGUGGAGCACUCCUGCAGGAGGUAGUGAUGGCCCCCAAAUUUAAAAGGCUAUAAGAAAAGAUUAGACAAAUUCAUAGAGAACAAGUCUGUAAAUUGCUGCUAGCUACAAUGGAGGCUAUGUUCUGCCUCCACAGUCAGAGCAGUGUGCUUCUGAAUGCCAGUUGCUAGCAACUGUAGAGCAGGGAGAAUGCUCUUAUGUUUAGAUCUUGCUUUACAGCCUUCUCACUGACAUCUGGUCAGCCACUGUGAGAACAGGAUGCUGGACUAGAUGGGUCAUUGGUUUGACCCAGCAUGCUCUUCUUAUGUUCCUUGAUGGGAAGAAGCUUCCUUGCUUUGUGGUUGAGCACCUGCUCUGCAUGCAGAAGGCCCAAAGUUUAAUCCCCAAGUAGAACUGGGCAAGAUUCCUGUCUGAGCCCCCGGAGAACUGCUGCCAUCUGGGGUUGUCAGUGCUGAGCUAGAUGGGUUGACUUUGUCUAAGACAGCUUCCUCUGUUCCUACCAUGGAAUGAGCCCUUAGGAGCUAUAUCUUCCAUGUGUUGAAUUGUGGAGUGAUGGUGGCAUCAGAUGAAAUUUCUCUGCAUUUUCUCUAUCAUGGUAAGGUCGGAAGCAUAAGCAGAAAAUGUGGAGCACCCCAGAGCUUUCCUUGCUAGCAACAAAUAAGGAACAUUCCACAGGGACUGUAACUGGAUUCUCUAAGCAUAUUCAGGUAUUGGAGUAUAUUUCACUGUUAUAUUCAUAUUGUCAAUAAUGGGACCUUUCUGCAGGAAAUGAGGACUCUUUCUGUAAACAUAAUAAUAUUUGGAAGAGGGGAAAAAAGCACAGCAAAUGUUGGACCACCAAAAAAGAAAAAGAAAAAAUUAAAUUGCUGGAGUAUUCCCUGGUCAGCAAAACUUACCCAGGGAACGCUUAGUUUCAUUCAGUUUGCUGAAUCGGUAGUUUUGCGCUUUUUUAAAAAAAGCAGUGACUUUUCAGAUUCAUGAGGGUAUGGAAGGCAAUCUUCAUAUUUAUAAGGACAAGCUGUCAACUUGUUUUCCAUAAUUUAUAAACUCCUUAAAACAAAAAAAAAGGGGGGGGCUUCACUUUCCUACUGUUGGAAUGAUGGAAAUGACCUGUAAAUGCAACAGGGGAGACUUAGGGCAGGACCAGCCAGAUUUAAGGACUUCAAAGACUCUUUAAUGUCAGUGGAAGGGUUAAGCAUGUGCUGAAAUCCCUCCUGCUGAGAUCAGCUUAAAAGUGCAUUGCCAUGACAGUAUCAUGCCUCUGCUUUCAAUGAUGAUGAUGAUGAGCCUGCUUUUCUGAAACCCCUUAGAGCAGCUAACAUUACAAAACACAAUAAUCAAAGAAUUACAGUUUAAGAGUUAGAACUUAAUCAAAGCAUAGAGUAGCAACAACAGAGAGAGUCUUUUCGGGUUGUUGGCCUGUGAACAUAAGCCCUGCUGGAUCGGAACAAUGGUCCAUUUCACUCAACAUCUUGUUCUCACAGUGGCCAACCAGAUACCUGUGGGAAGUCCACAAGCAAAAGCUGAGCGCAACAGCACUCUGAUAGAAUCACUGAAUUAUAGAGUUGCAAGGUAUUCCAAGGGUCAUCUAGUCCAACCCCCUGCCAUGCAGAAAUCACAGGUGAAGAAUUUCUGACAGAUGGUCAUCUAACCUCUGUUUAAAGCUCUCCAGUGGAGGAGAAACCAUCACCUUCCCAGGCAGGCCACAGCAUCCCCCUGAGCCACCAAGCUUGUAACAUUAUAUAUAAAAAAGGGAAAUAAAUAAGAUUACUCUGGCAUGACUUUUUUUUUCUUUUUGAGGAACCCAUGCUGGCUCUUAGUAAUCACAGCAUCCUUUACUAAGUGAUCAUGUACUUAGUUUAAUUAUGUGUUCUAGGACCUUUCCUGAUAUUGACCUAAACUGACCAGACGGUGUUUGCCUGUGUCCUCUUCUCCCCGCUUUAUGAAGCUGGGGACAACAUUUGCCCACCAUCAGCCUGCAGGGAUCUCACCUGUUCUCCAAGGCUUCUCAAAGAUUACAGACAGCUUUCUCAAAGAUUAUUAUCCCCCACCUGCAAUCCCCAACAUCCUGCUUCUGACGGCGCUGUCGUGAUAGGGACGAAAUCCUGAUGGAAAAGGAAAGGAAGCUAAAAUGGCUACAGUUUGCAUGUUUGUCUUUGAUCAGGAAUAGCAAUCAACCAAGCAAAUAUGGUAUUCAUAUUGCUGUUGUUUUUAAAUCUGCGAAUGAAUGAUAUUACAUUGUUUUUACUUUGUUUUGGUCUUACUUGAUCCAAGUUAAAUAGUGGGCAGCAAGACAAAUUAUGUAGUAUUUGGUGGAAGGUGUGGAAUGGAAACAGCCCUGAAUGUGAUUAAUACAGGUAUGGACAAAAACAGCUGCCUUCUUGCACUCCUAGUUCUCAGUGAGGUCCACCUGGUGUGGACACUGACAUCCUUUUGGCACCAGGUUAGGAUUUUCCUCUCUACCCAGGCAUUUAAUGAAAUAUGAAAAGUCUUUAAACUUGAUUGUAAGUUGAUUAAAGACCUGCUCUGUGUUAAGUUUGCACCACUAGAGCACACCUGGAAUGCUUUCCAAUAUUGCAAGUGUUAAAAGAGGACUGGGAAGUCCUAGGUUCAAAACCUCAUCCAUUCCUGAAGCUCAUUGUGUGACUUUAGGCUGAGAGAUGGUGACUGGCCCAUUCUGCCUCACAGACUGGGAGACAGAGCAGGGAUAGAACUACCUAUGCAGACUUCGGUUCCUGGGAGAAUAUGUAGGCUGGCAGAGAAUAAAAAAAAGUGGAUCAAAUUAGCAAUAUUGGUAAAACUUGCAGCUACCUGACUUGUAAUAGAAAUCUAGCCUGUUCAUAAUCCCCACCUGUAUUUCAAGCCUUGAGUCUGAGUCACCAACACUGUAAUAUGUUCAUAAAUAAAAAUAAGAUUGCAAGUGAAUUUCUAAUUUCCCCUUUUCUGGCACCUGCUCAUGCUCAGAUAUUCUUCACCUUAACCCUGUAAGAGUUGCUCCAUGUUAACCUAGUCUAGAGGUGGGCAAUUGUCUUGGCCUGCAUUCAGCAAUGCUUGUGGGGGGGGCACAUAAAAGUGGGUGUGGCCAGUGCUGGCAGUGGGCUGGGUUAUUAACACACACAUUCAAGUCACUCAUUUGACUCCUAACUUUUCCUGCCACGGAGACAGGAACCUUGGCUGCAUUGGGAAUGUUAUAUUCAGUCGAUUAUGUUGAAACUUACUACAAGCCGAGUUAACAUACCCUCCAACAUUUCUUCGAUGAAAAGAAGGACGUCCGAUUCCAUAAUGAUAAUUUUACUAUUUAUACUCCACACAUCAUACUGGGUUGCCCCAGCCACUCUGGCCAGCUUCCAGCAAAUAUAAAAACAUAAUUAAACAUUAAAAAAACUUCCCUAUACAGGAUUGCCUUCAGACGGCUCGAGGGUCGGAUAACUCCAUACCCUCCAACAUUUCUCCAAUGAAAAUAGGGACAUCCUAAGGAAAAGUGGGACAUUCCGGGAUCAAAUCAGAGACCGGAAUGGCUUCUCUAAAUCAGGGAUGUCCCUGAAGAAAUAGGGACACUUGGAGGGUCUGGAGUGAAUGGUUAACAAAUUUUAUUUCUGAAGAGGCCUGGGAGUCUGCAUAAAGUAGUCACCAAGUGAUCCUCCCAGGCCACAUCUCUGAGUCAGCUCUCCAUACCUGUUUCUUUUAAAGGGGACAUUUGCCAGAUAGUUAAUUCAUAAUGCAUACAUUACAUCCCCGUCUGUUUCAAUGCAGUGAAAAUCGCUGUUCCUGCAUUGCUCUGGUUAGCCGCAUUUUGCUUCCAAACUGGAAGGAACUCAGCGACCAAAGAUCGCUAUUAGAGGGGAUGGUAGUUGCGUGGCGAUUCCCGCCCCCUCCCACAGAUGGAAUAAAUAAAGACACAGGACACCAGAAUUUAGGUUAAUGGGCGAAAAAGGGCCACAACUUUAUUGAUUACAGGUAAGAGCGGUAUUGGCUUUAGGCAUUGGCCCUAUCAGACUAACUGGUAUAACCGGGAAGGGUUAAGCACCAACAGGGGGAGCCCCCGAGAUGCACAUCCCUAGGCGCUCCCCGAGGGGUUACUGCUCGGGAGCGCGCUUUAGGCCCUAGCCUCCAUAGGUUUCGGACGAGGCGACGCCCCCCGGAGUCCUUUAAUGAACUACCCUUCAACAUUUGGGGGAGGUGAUGGCGUUCCUCCCCCCCAUCUCAUUUGCAUAAUAAUACCCCUGCCAAUGCCUAACCGCCCAAACCAAAGGUGUUGUGACGUUUUGCUACGAGGUAGGCGAAAAAACCAAGUGGCUUCCAAAAUAUAGCCAAUUAGCCAAAUGGAAAAACUCCUACCAGGCCCCUUGCGGCGACCAGCUGAAGCCCAUAGCAAAGUCCAAAUGAGAACCUAAAGGGCGGGAGGGUGGGAAACCGCAGCUGCUGAAAGAAAAGAAAGGGGCGAGCAUGGGCUGCCCCGACCUUUAAUGCCCCUUACAAGUACUGCCUCCACCGCCAGCCGAUUGGCUGGCACGGUGAAUGAUGAAACUUAAUGACCCCGGGAUUCCCCAAGUCCCGCGGGGCUGCAGCCAGCCCCGCGAUGGUGUGAGCCCGCAACCCCCCCUCCGUAUGUCGGGAGUGGCUUUCUAUUACAUUUCUGUAAUUUGCAACAUGCAACAUGCAGAACUGGGAUGAUUAUGAUGAACUGCUAAAAAUACUCCACAUAAAUAUACCAAUCCAUCCCCAUAGUUAAAAUUAUCUCAAGUCUCCUAUCUUUCUUUGUCUACUUUUCUUUCAUUGGCACAUGCUUUCCUGCACAUACACCCCAAACAAACAUCCGCCAUGAUUAAGUCAAUUCCUUUGGGAUAGUAACAGAAAUAUAGAAUGAAAUGGCAUUUUGAAUAUCACGUAAAAUGUAUUUUUAAACUCUCCUCAAGCACAACAGAGAGUUAGAAAUGCAUGAUUUUUUUUAAUCUAAGGACAUGUGCUAAGCAGGGACACAACUAUUCAGCUAAAGUUAAAGUAAUUUUAAGUAGCCUUGAUUGAAAGGGGAGAGAAUUAAGCACAUGCUUAGCUCUCGUUAAAUCAGACCAAAAAGGGUUUAACCUUUGGGGUGAUCAUGUUCUAUAUUUUCCAUGUUCUUUUGAGUUUGGCUAGCGCUUCAUCAUUUGUAAUCGUAACAAUAUUAGUAUAAAUAAUGAUACAGCAAGAGAAAUAAAGAUUUGGAUGAUACUAAUAGAAUAAUUAGGAAUGACCAUUUAAGACUCUUAAUUUUUGCUCUUUAGCCCAGAUUGCUGUAACUAAGGAGAAUGGGCCACUUUUCCUUUGUGUGUUCAGACCCAGACCUCCCCCCUAAAUAACCUUACAAGUUGUGACGAUUUGCUACACGGCAGGUGAAACCCAAAUGGCAACAGCCAAUCAGCCAAGUGGGGAAAAUUCUUGCCGUGCCCCUGUCCCAACAACAGAUGACACAUGAUGGCAUAGCAAGGUCAAUCGCAAAAUGCCCUAAAAUUAGGAAGAGGUGGGCGGGUGUUCCAAUGCACGAGUCAAAAGGGGAAGCUCUGGGUCAUGUGCAUAGGUCCCUUGGUCCAUUUAGACUGCACCCCAUUGGCCAGAUUAAACCCAGCAAUGAGGGACCUACCAAUCAAGUGUUGUGGCUGUCCAAUAUACCCACCCACAAUCAGGAGGUCAGUCUCCAGGUCUCACCGCAACACGUGCCCUCUUUUAGGGAGGACACGGUUUCUCUCCCUCCCCUGAAUCUUUAAGUACUAAGGCCAUCAUGCAUGGGGACUUGGCAUGCUAUAGAGCAUAUUUUCACCCACACCAAACCCCUAGCUUUACCUCUCUUUGUUGAACUCUUACAGGUCCUGACUACAGAGUUGUGUGGAUUUGCGGGCACAGAAUGGCAAACUGGGCUCAUCAGCAUGCUGCACCAUCUGACAGGAAAACCCACCUCCAUCUGGGUGACAAAAUGCACAUUUCCUGGUUGGGACAGAGGGCCAUGAUGUGGGACAGCUUCAUGCCCUUGGUGACAUCUCAGAUUGCAUCUUCAGGACCUCAAGGUGUGCUUGUCAUACAACUCGGGGACAAUGAGUUUGGUAAGAGGAAAUGAAUUCACCUCUGUCCAACAGCUGUUGCCAAACUGAAUGCUUUGCUUUCAAAGUACCUUCAAAUGUUAAUUUUCUGGUUGGAGCUCCUUGAGAGGCAACUGUGGAAGAAGGGCCACAGACAGACCCUGCCUAGAUAAAUGGGCCUUGGGGAAAAGUUAACAAGGUGAUCUGGUGGAAUGUGCAGACACAUGACAGUUAGGUGAUUCAACACCCAAAGAUUACACACAAAGAUGGAACUGUGCAGGCCAGACUGAGUACAUUCAUCAGUGACUAGCAACAGUCACAACAGGUGACUGUGGAACAACAGGUGGACAUUCAUAAUGGCUUGAUGGAAUGCUUACAGGUAUAAUGGGUCUGGGGGCAAGUUGACAUGGGCUCACCAAUGCAAGGGGAGGAAGAGGCAUUGGGUUGGGUCUUUACAGGGAAACAGGUGGGGUAGGGCCCCUCCUGACCCAUUCCAUGGGUGAUCCCCAUAAGGAAUCUCAGAGGGCAGCACUUCCUAUCCAGAUGCCCAGCUCAGGGGCUGAAGGAUCAUAGCAGCCCCUACCAGUGAUCAAUUAGGGAUCCUCAGUUGCAGCUUUUGCUAUAAGGUGACCAACCCCAAAACCUGGUCCACCCCAACUGUUUCUCAAGCUGGUCCACCCCAACUGUUUGUGGGCUGUCUGUUAUCCUUCUCUUGGUCCUGCCACCCUCUCAGGACACUUGGUAGUGAUGCAGGAGAGAACCUUCUUGGCAGCUGCUCUCAGACUUUGGAACUCCCUUCAUAGGGAAAUUAUACUGGCUCCCUCCUUCUUGUCCUUCCAUCGAAAAUACGAAGACUUUUUUGUUCCAACAGGCUUUUGGGAACUGACUGUUUUUAAGGAAAGGGUUGGUGCUGUGAUUUUUUUUUUAUUGUAUUUUUCUAUUAAUGAUUAAUCGUUUUUCAAUUAUUGCCUCCCCCCCUAUUUUUAGCUAUUCCUAUUUUGUAUGUAAGCCGCCUUGAGUACCUGUCAGGGGGGGAAAGUUGGGGUUUAAAUAAAUAUAUAAUAAUAAUA
Podarcis lilfordi (Lilford's wall lizard) is the source of this 14596-nucleotide non-coding RNA. Lineage: Eukaryota; Metazoa; Chordata; Lepidosauria; Squamata; Lacertidae. The record is from the annotation of a GenBank genome assembly.